UUGUUUUUUUUAGGAUGUCAGUGACAACCACACGAUGUUAGACUCAGAAGAAGGCGUUUCGUCAGUGGAUAACCUGUUUUAUGACGGGCCAGUAAUUCAUAAAGUGAAACCAUUAUGUCAGGGACAGGGCUCCUGGACGUUUGAUGCUCCACCCUCAUUAUCACAAAUACCUGCAACUCAAGACAUCCAGGGAGAGGCAGCACACCUUUUCUCACUUAGUUGUUCUCAGAGAUCAAAGAAAUUUCUGCCUCCUGCACAAAAACCUAUUCACAAUCCCAUCGCAAGUGUCCAGUGGCAGACUGUGAAAUCACAUGAGCUGGAGGAAUCGGUUUUGUGGACCCAUGAACCUUCUAGAGAAAGACAUCAAGCUGUCGACCAGAUGGGUUUUGUGGAAGCAGGGCCUUCACCUACUGCCAGUGCUCCUCCCUUCAAGACUCGGUUGUUCAGAGCUCCCACGAGAAGGAUCUCAGGGAAUGAUGAAGACAGUAUCCCAAAUCAGAUGAUGUCGACAACAAAUGACAUGGGUUUCCUUGGUCAGGUUGCCAUGACAAACAUAGGUCCACAGACUACACAUGCUGUUGCUACCUGUAGUCCUUUUACUGACUUUGGCCAAACAGAAAAAACAUGUGAGACACCUUCAAAAACAAACCAUAAUGUCCAUUUUGGUUUCAAACCUGCAGAACUUGAAGGUAAUAUAUCAUUGUAGCACUAUUACUUAACUUGAAUGUCAAAAUAUAGAGUGAGUUAAAGUUGUAACAAAUUUAACCAGCUAUACUACCUGUUAAAAAGUUAAAUCUCUGUACUUUUUAAUGCCGGGUACACACUGCAUGAUUUCAUUCAGAUGCACAAAGUCAAUUGCAAAUUGGUGCUCGUGCAUGUGAGUGACUGUCACAUAUUGUGUGCUGUGUGUUGUCAAAGACUCAAUCUUAGAGAAGCGCAGAUUCGUCACUGAUGCCCAUUAGAUACUAAAAACACAAAAGUUUCACAUACAGAAAACACUGUGUUAUGCAUGCCAGGCCAGUAGCUGACAACAUCACUUUUCCUGUGCACAUACACAUUUCUAAUAUAUACACAUAAUACAUUUGUGCAUGACAUAAAUGUUUUCUCAGGUUUGCAUUUUCAUAGUUUAUAAGGGUUUAAUUUUCAAAACUUGUACUUUGAAACCCAUCUUACCCUCAAUAUGAUGUCUGACCCACGUCGAUGAUUUGUUUUGUAGUGUGCACUCAACAGCAGAUAAAUGGUACCCCAGACAAUCGUGUGGUGUGAAAUGAACAGCAACAUUGAAAAUCAUGCAGUGUGUUCC
RNAcentral lists this long non-coding RNA (1303 nucleotides) under Carassius auratus (goldfish). Its description in RNAcentral is "lncRNA (ENSCARG00000018638.1)". Lineage: Eukaryota; Metazoa; Chordata; Actinopteri; Cypriniformes; Cyprinidae. The record is from RNAcentral.